RNAcentral lists this non-coding RNA (948 nucleotides) under Macaca fascicularis (crab-eating macaque). RNAcentral describes it as "12S ribosomal RNA". It matches the Rfam family "Bacterial small subunit ribosomal RNA". Lineage: Eukaryota; Metazoa; Chordata; Mammalia; Primates; Cercopithecidae. The record is from RNAcentral.
AAUAGGCUUGGUCCUGGCCUUUCUAUUAGCUCUUAGCAGGAUUACACAUGCAAGCAUCCCCGCUCCAGUGAAGACGCCCUACAAAUCAUCAUGACCAAGAGGAGCAAGCAUCAAGCACGCACACGCAGCUCAAAACGCUUUGCCUAGCCACACCCCCACGGGAGACAGCAGUGACAAAUAUUUAGCAAUAAACGAAAGUUCAACUAAGCCAUGCUAUAUUUAGGGUUGGUCAAUUUCGUGCCAGCCACCGCGGUUACACGAUUAACCCCAGCUAAUAGGGAUCGGCGUAGAGGGUGUUUAAGAUCUAACAUAAUAAAGCUAAACUCCACCUAAACUGUAAAACCCUAGCUAAUGUAAAAUAAACUACGAAAGUGGCUUUAAAGCUUCUGAACACACAAUAGCCAAGACCCAAACUGGGAUUAGACACCCCACUAUGCUUGGCCCUAAACCUCAGUAAUUAGAUAACAAAACUACUCGCCAGAAUACUACAAGCAACAGCUUGAAACUCAAAGGACUUGACGGUGCUUUACAUCCCCCUAGAGGAGCCUGUUCCAUAAUCGAUAAACCCCGAUCCACCCUACCCUCUCUUGCUCAGCCUAUAUACCGCCAUCUUCAGCAAACCCUAAUGAAGGCCACAAAGUGAGCGCAAACGCCGCCGCCGCGAAUACGUUAGGUCAAGGUGUAGCCCAUGAGACGGUAAAAAAUGGGCUACAUUUUCUGUUUCAGAAAACCCCACGAAAACCCUUAUGAAACUUAAGGGUCCAAGGAGGAUUUAGCAGUAAAUUAAGAAUAGAGUGCUUAAUUGAACCAGGCCAUAAAGCGCGCACACACCGCCCGUCACUCCUCUCAAAUAUAUUUAAGGAAUAUCCUAACUAAACGCCCUAAUAUUUAUAUAGAGAGGAUAAGUCGUAACAUGGUAAGCGUACUGGAAGGUGCGCUUGGAUAAAU